UGUAAGCGUAUACCAAAGUUGUUGCAGUUAAAACGCUCGUAGUCGGAAUUUGGCAGUUCCGGAUGUGUGCACGUCGUGUGCGCACUUCGCGGGGAUUGCUUUUGUGGUCUUGCGUAGGAUGAGGCACUUUUAUUAGUGAACGUCCUCACGCAACCACUUUUUACUGUGAGAAAAUCAGAGUGCUCAAAGCAGGCAUUUGCCGUGAAUGUAUUAGCAUGGAAUAAUAGAAUAGGACUUGGUUCUAUUUUGUUGGUUUGUUGGGACUGAGUAAUGAUUAAGAGGGACAGUUGGGGGCAUUUGUAUUUCGGUGCUAGAGGUGAAAUUCUUAGAUUACCGAAAGACAAACUGCUGCGAAAGCGUCUACCAAGGAUGUUUUCAUUGA
RNAcentral lists this ribosomal RNA (382 nucleotides) under uncultured eukaryote. RNAcentral describes it as "partial 18S ribosomal RNA". It matches the Rfam family "Eukaryotic small subunit ribosomal RNA", at positions 592 to 976 of the family's 1831-position model. The record is from RNAcentral.